UUGGGAAUCUUGGACAAUGGGGGAAACCCUGAUCCAGCCAUGCCGCGUGAGUGAUGAAGGCCUUCGGGUUGUAAAACUCUUUCGACGGGGACGAUAAUGACGGUACCCGUAGAAGAAGCUCCGGCUAACUUCGUGCCAGCAGCCGCGGUAAUACGAAGGGGGCUAGCGUUGUUCGGAAUUACUGGGCGUAAAGCGCGCGCAGGCGGUCUUCCAAGUCAGUGGUGAAAGCCCGGAGCUCAACUCCGGAACUGCCAUUGAAACUGUUAGACUUGAGGACGAGAGAGGUGAGUGGAAUUCCCAGUGUAGAGGUGAAAUUCGUAGAUAUUGGGAAGAACACCGGUGGCGAAGGCGGCUCACUGGCUCGUAUCUGACGCUCAGGCGCGAUAGCGUGGGGAUCAAACAGG
This 404-nucleotide ribosomal RNA is filed under the name uncultured bacterium. RNAcentral's name for it is "bacterial SSU rRNA". It matches the Rfam family "Bacterial small subunit ribosomal RNA", at positions 355 to 776 of the family's 1533-position model. The record is from RNAcentral.